RNAcentral lists this ribosomal RNA (448 nucleotides) under uncultured bacterium. Its description in RNAcentral is "partial 16S ribosomal RNA". It matches the Rfam family "Bacterial small subunit ribosomal RNA", at positions 29 to 522 of the family's 1533-position model. The record is from RNAcentral.
AACGAACGCUGGCGGCAGGCUUAACACAUGCAAGUCGAGCGCCCUAGCAAUAGGGAGCGGCGCACGGGUGAGUAACGCGUGGGAACGUACCAUUUAGUGGGGGAUAACUUUGGGAAACUGAAGCUAAUACCGCAUACGCCCGAGAGGGGAAAGAUUUAUCGCUAAAUGAUCGGCCCGCGUGAGAUUAGGUAGUUGGUGGGGUAAUGGCCUACCAAGCCUACGAUCUCUAGCUGGUCUGAGAGGAUGAUCAGCCACACUGGAACUGAGACACGGUCCAGACUCCUACGGGAGGCAGCAGUGGGGAAUAUUGGACAAUGGGGGAAACCCUGAUCCAGCCAUGCCGCGUGAAUGAUGAAGGCUUUAGGGUUGUAAAGUUCUUUCACCGAUGAAGAUAAUGACGGUAGUCGGAGAAGAAGCCCCGGCUAACUUCGUGCCAGCCGCCGCGUAA